UGGGUUGGCCAAAAAGUUCGUUCAGGUUUUUCUAUACGGAAAAGUCUGAACAAACAUUUUGGCCAGCCCAGU
Molecule: microRNA precursor, 72 nt
Filed under: Tursiops truncatus (common bottlenose dolphin)
Lineage: Eukaryota; Metazoa; Chordata; Mammalia; Artiodactyla; Delphinidae
Description: miRNA (ENSTTRG00000024518.1)
Source: RNAcentral